GGAACAAUUUGCCUGAACGUUGCUGUAUGGAUUGUGGCAGGGAUAGUCCUGAGAUGUGAGCUCGCUGUCUUCUCCACUUUGUUCUGAUGGCAGCCAGGAAGAAAUCAGGAGAGGCUCAUCAGGAUAUUACCUCUGAUGCAAACACAUGAGACAUCUGGUUAUCGAUCCAUACAUUGAUGUCCCCCGUGGUAACGUGGCCUGCAUACAGACUACACCGACACAACUGGGCCAGCACGACACACAGCAGUUGUACAUGGCCUUCCGGCAAAACACUAAGUAAAUGACCUGGCAGGGUGUGUCACCACCCUACAGCGGUGUGGAUCGAUGCUCGAUGCUCCUACUGGUGACAAUUGACUUGUCUGGUCCAGACUUGAUCAAUUGAGUGUUACAGUUGACAUAUUUUGCGGCUCAAAAUUCAUACAUUCACUCUUCCGAUUGAUAAACCUUGCUCAAUAGUGAUGGAAGACAAGGGGGCAGCAAGUUCUGUCUCAGCCGGACAGCUGUGUAUCAAAGGACUGAUAUACCGUAGUUGUGUUGACGUGUAUGCUUUAAGAACGUACUGUUUUGGAUAAUAUGCAUCUUUACACCCCCUGCAGCUCUACAGUAAACCUGCUCUACAUCAAGGAUAGACGAUACCCAUAUAGGAACUGCAUCUCUGAUUGUAGUCUUGAGGAGCCAGCCUGGUGCCUUGGUGGUUACAGUGUUCGUUCGCCACGCAGAAGACCUAGUUCGUUUCCCCACUUUGAUACAAUGGGUGACGCCCUUUUAUUGUGUAUAUUGCUGAAAUACAGCGAGGCUUGUUACGGCCACCCACGGUCACUGACCAAAUAGUACAUUCUUGACCUUGGCAAUGCUGAUGUGUCUUUGUGAUUGAUAAACUACCAAAUUAGCCGAACCAUACUCUAAUAAGGAGGUCAUGGGCCUAACUGUACCAGCCCAGGCCUGAUGU
Long non-coding RNA from Haliotis rufescens (red abalone), 949 nucleotides. RefSeq lists it as uncharacterized. The record is from RefSeq and is a predicted model, not a curated record. The transcript has 3 exons. Lineage: Eukaryota; Metazoa; Mollusca; Gastropoda; Lepetellida; Haliotidae.